GAUGUGUGUCGUAGUUAACGCGUUAAACAGGGCGCCUGGGAAGUACGGCCGCAAGGCUAAAACCCAAAGGAAUUGACGGGGACCCGCACAAGCAGUGGAGCGCCUGGUUUAAUUCGAUGGUCCGCGAAGUACCUCACCUAGGCUUGAACUGUAGCUGCACACUCCCAGAAACGGGAGAAUCCUUCGAGGGUGCUACAGAGUUGCUGCAUGGCUGUCGUCAGCUCGUGUCGUGAGAUGUAGGCUUAAGUCCCACAAAGAGCGCUACCCCUAUUCAGUGUUAUAAUUACUCUGAAGACUGCCCUGUCCAAACGGGGAGGAAGGAGGGGACGACGUCCAGUUAUCAUGUCCCUUAUGUAUAGGGAUACACAGACGCUACAAUGGCCGGUACAAUGGGUUGCCAGACCGCGAGGUGGAGCCAAUCCCAUCAAAGCCGGUCCCAGUUCGGAUUGCAGUCUGCAACUCGACUGCAUGAAGUAGGAAUUGCUAGUAAUCGCGAAUCAGCACA
RNAcentral lists this ribosomal RNA (505 nucleotides) under uncultured organism. RNAcentral describes it as "bacterial SSU rRNA". It matches the Rfam family "Bacterial small subunit ribosomal RNA", at positions 838 to 1356 of the family's 1533-position model. The record is from RNAcentral.